GUGGAAUAAGACUAGAAAACAGACCUCAGGAAAAUGAUCCCAGAAAGAUCUGUCUUUCAAAUCCAAGCAAAUCCAAAACAUCUGCAAGAGAAAUCAACUCACCAAUAAUGAAAAAUAAAGGAUACUUUGCUUCAGAGAAAGACUUCAGUACAACUAUUGAACAUCUGCACAAAGAUCAAGCUAUGAGAAGGGCAAAGCUAGGUCCGAUGAGC
RNAcentral lists this long non-coding RNA (212 nucleotides) under Athene cunicularia (burrowing owl). RNAcentral's name for it is "lncRNA (ENSACUG00000011797.1)". The record is from RNAcentral. Lineage: Eukaryota; Metazoa; Chordata; Aves; Strigiformes; Strigidae.